RNAcentral lists this ribosomal RNA (331 nucleotides) under Providencia huaxiensis. RNAcentral's name for it is "bacterial SSU rRNA". It matches the Rfam family "Bacterial small subunit ribosomal RNA", at positions 1 to 330 of the family's 1533-position model. Lineage: Bacteria; Pseudomonadati; Pseudomonadota; Gammaproteobacteria; Enterobacterales; Morganellaceae. The record is from RNAcentral.
UAAUUGAAGAGUUUGAUCAUGGCUCAGAUUGAACGCUGGCGGCAGGCCUAACACAUGCAAGUCGAGCGGUAACAGGGGAAGCUUGCUUCUCGCUGACGAGCGGCGGACGGGUGAGUAAUGUAUGGGGAUCUGCCCGAUAGAGGGGGAUAACUACUGGAAACGGUAGCUAAUACCGCAUAAUCUCUUAGGAGCAAAGCAGGGGAACUUCGGUCCUUGCGCUAUCGGAUGAACCCAUAUGGGAUUAGCUAGUUGGUGAGGUAAUGGCUCACCAAGGCGACGAUCUCUAGCUGGUCUGAGAGGAUGAUCAGCCACACUGGGACUGAGACACGGC